AGACGCACCCCAAUAGGGUGCCGGGGCUUC
RNAcentral lists this transfer RNA (30 nucleotides) under Christinus guentheri (Lord Howe Island southern gecko). RNAcentral's name for it is "partial tRNA-Cys". The record is from RNAcentral. Lineage: Eukaryota; Metazoa; Chordata; Lepidosauria; Squamata; Gekkonidae.